GUGCUUGCUCAGGCAGCACAUAUGAAAAAUUGGAAUCGAUACAGAGAAGAUCAGCAUGGCCCCUGCGCGAAAGGAUGACACGCAAAAUCGUGAAGCGUUUCCACAUUUU
RNAcentral lists this small nuclear RNA (109 nucleotides) under Seriola dumerili (greater amberjack). Lineage: Eukaryota; Metazoa; Chordata; Actinopteri; Carangiformes; Carangidae. The record is from RNAcentral.